Pelobates cultripes (western spadefoot toad) is the source of this 407-nucleotide non-coding RNA. Lineage: Eukaryota; Metazoa; Chordata; Amphibia; Anura; Pelobatidae. The record is from the annotation of a GenBank genome assembly.
GCCAACUUGGUCUGAGUGUACUAUGGUCGGCAGUAUAGAUGUCAUUCUAUUGGCAUAGAUUUUGGCCAGGAUCUUCACGUCCGAAUUCAAUAAGGAGAUCGGUCUGAAAUUCGCGCAUUGGGUUGGUGAUUUGCCAGGUUUGGGUAGGGUGGCCACAUUGGCCGUGAGCAUAUCUGGUGGUAUGUUCUCUUGUGUUGUGGUAAAAGUGAAAAGUGACGUUAGCCGGGGGGCGAGUAUGGAGGAGAACCUCUUGUAAUAUGUGUUUGGCAGUCCGUCUGGGCCUGGGGUUUUGUUUGGCGGCAGAUUUUGUAUAACCCUGAGCACCUCUGUUUGAGAGAUGGGUUCAGCCAGGAGCUCCUGUUGGGUCGCUGAGAGUGUAGGUAGGCGGACUUUGUCUAGAAAGGUAG